Molecule: ribosomal RNA, 253 nt
Filed under: uncultured bacterium
Lineage: Bacteria
Description: partial 16S ribosomal RNA
Rfam family: Bacterial small subunit ribosomal RNA
Source: RNAcentral
GACGUAGGGCGCGAGCGUUGUCCGGAUUUAUUGGGCGUAAAGAGCUCGUAGGCGGCUUGUCGCGUCGUUCGUGAAAACCUGGGGCUCAACUCCAAGCUUGCGGGCGAUACGGGCAGGCUAGAGUUCGGUAGGGGAGACUGGAAUUCCUGGUGUAGCGGUGAAAUGCGUAGAUAUCGGGAGGAACACCAGUGGCGAAGGCGGCUACCUGGGCCAGUUCUGACGCUGAGGCGCGAAAGCGUGGGGAGCAAACAGG